RNAcentral lists this ribosomal RNA (253 nucleotides) under uncultured bacterium. RNAcentral's name for it is "partial 16S ribosomal RNA". It matches the Rfam family "Bacterial small subunit ribosomal RNA", at positions 524 to 776 of the family's 1533-position model. The record is from RNAcentral.
UACGUAGGUGGCAAGCGUUGUCCGGAUUUAUCGGGUUUAAAGGGUGCGUAGGCGGUCUUUUAAGUCAGUGCUGAAAUAUCCCGGCUUAACCGGGAGGGUGGCAUUGAUACUGAAGGACUUGAGUAAAGUUGAGGUUGGCGGAAUUGACGGUGUAGCGGCGAAAUGCUUAGAUAUCGUCAAGAACACCGAUAGUGCAGACAGCUAACUAAGCUUUAACUGACGCUGAGGCACGAAAGUGUGGGGAUCAAACAGG